This 445-nucleotide ribosomal RNA is filed under the name uncultured bacterium. RNAcentral's name for it is "partial 16S ribosomal RNA". It matches the Rfam family "Bacterial small subunit ribosomal RNA", at positions 354 to 796 of the family's 1533-position model. The record is from RNAcentral.
GUGAGGAAUAUUGGUCAAUGGGCGGGAGCCUGAACCAGCCAAGUCGCGUGAAGGAUGAAGGUUUUAUGAAUUGUAAACUUCUUUUGCAGGGGAAUAAAGUACGGUACGUGUACCGUUUUGUAUGUACUCUGCGAAUAAGGAUCGGCUAACUCCGUGCCAGCAGCCGCGGUAAUACGGAGGAUCCAAGCGUUAUCCGGAUUUAUUGGGUUUAAAGGGUGCGCAGGCGGGUUGAUAAGUCAGCGGUGAAAGUUUGCAGCUUAACUGUAAAAUUGCCGUUGAAACUGUCGAUCUUGAGUGCAAAUGAGGUAAGCGGAAUGUGUUGUGUAGCGGUGAAAUGCUUAGAUAUAACACAGAACACCGAUUGCGAAGGCAGCUUACUGGGAUGCAACUGACGCUCAUGCACGAAAGCGUGGGGAUCAAACAGGAUUAGAUACCCCGGUAGUCC